RNAcentral lists this long non-coding RNA (225 nucleotides) under Elaeis guineensis (African oil palm). RNAcentral describes it as "long non-coding RNA (EGUI_LNC040723)". The record is from RNAcentral. Lineage: Eukaryota; Viridiplantae; Streptophyta; Magnoliopsida; Arecales; Arecaceae.
CGUGGAAAUUUGGAUGGAGUCCAUCCGUCGUGAAGAAUCCGGUCGACGCUGGUGGGGGCUUAUCCUUCAGCAAAACUUGGGAGUGUUGCGGAGGCUCGGCCGCCUGGGAGGUUUGAAGAGAUGUCGUCGGAGGUCGGAAGUCGGUUGGAUCCCCAGAGGGUCACUCCUGCCACGAACUUCGGCUGGGGGAUAUUUUAUACCCAACAGGUAUAAUUUCAGACCAAU